ACAGAUCUCUUUGAUUGUUGCUGCU
This 25-nucleotide microRNA is filed under the name Oreochromis niloticus (Nile tilapia). Its description in RNAcentral is "oni-miR-10878". The record is from miRBase by way of RNAcentral. Lineage: Eukaryota; Metazoa; Chordata; Actinopteri; Cichliformes; Cichlidae.